CAUUUUGCAUCAAUAUAAUCAAUUUUUAAAUUACCAACGGUUCUCAUUUAAUCAGUUCCAUUCGACGGCGUACAUCAAAUGACACACUUUGGCACACCGGAAAAUGGCAUACCAGAAGUUUACCAUAUAUAUAUAAGACGCAUGUCUGGUGCGGUUCGCCGCACUGUCGUUUAAUGCGAAUGUCGUUCCAACGUCCUCCUUCUCUUAUGUUCGUUGUCAUCCUUUUGUGAGGUACUGGAUUGGCUGAUGGAAUGAUAUCCUCGUGUGAGGUGCGGUCCCUCAUUGCGAUCGUCGGAUUUGAAAUGCGGCCCAUCCGACGAUG
RNAcentral lists this long non-coding RNA (322 nucleotides) under Zostera marina. RNAcentral's name for it is "long non-coding RNA (ZMAR_LNC002937)". The record is from RNAcentral. Lineage: Eukaryota; Viridiplantae; Streptophyta; Magnoliopsida; Alismatales; Zosteraceae.